RNAcentral lists this ribosomal RNA (301 nucleotides) under uncultured bacterium. RNAcentral's name for it is "partial 16S ribosomal RNA". It matches the Rfam family "Bacterial small subunit ribosomal RNA", at positions 509 to 807 of the family's 1533-position model. The record is from RNAcentral.
CAGUAGCCGCGGUAAUACGAAGGGGGCUAGCGUUGCUCGGAAUGACUGGGCGUAAAGGGCGCGUAGGCGGCGAUCAAAGUCAGGCGUGAAAUUCCUGGGCUCAACCUGGGGGCUGCGUUUGAUACCUGAUUGCUAGAGUGGGGAAGAGGGUCGUGGAAUCCCCAGUGUAGAGGUGAAAUUCGUAGAUAUUGGGAAGAACACCGGUGGCGAAGGCGGCGACCUGGUCCUUGACUGACGCUGAGGCGCGAAAGCGUGGGGAGCAGACAGGAUUAGAUACCCCAGUAGUCCCUGUCUCUUAUAC